RNAcentral lists this ribosomal RNA (523 nucleotides) under uncultured bacterium. Its description in RNAcentral is "bacterial SSU rRNA". It matches the Rfam family "Bacterial small subunit ribosomal RNA", at positions 1 to 523 of the family's 1533-position model. The record is from RNAcentral.
GGGAGAGUUUGAUCCUGGCUCAGAUUGAACGCUGGCGGCAUGCCUUACACAUGCAAGUCGAACGGUAACAGGGAGCUUGCUCCGCUGACGAGUGGCGAACGGGUGAGUAAUGUAUCGGAACGUACCAUUCAGUGGGGGAUAACGUAGCGAAAGUUACGCUAAUACCGCAUAUUCUGUGAGCAGGAAAGCAGGGGAUCGCAAGGCCUCGCGCGAUUGGAGCGGCCGAUGUCGGAUUAGCUAGUUGGUAGGGUAAAGGCCUACCAAGGCGACGAUCCGUAGCGGGUCUGAGAGGAUGAUCCGCCACACUGGGACUGAGACACGGCCCAGACUCCUACGGGAGGCAGCAGUGGGGAAUUUUGGACAAUGGGCGAAAGCCUGAUCCAGCCAUGCCGCGUGAGUGAAGAAGGCCUUCGGGUUGUAAAGCUCUUUCAGCCGGAAAGAAAUCGCGCAGGAUAAUACUCUGCGUGGAUGACGGUACCGGAAGAAGAAGCACCGGCUAACUACGUGCCAGCAGCCGCGGUAA